Phrynosoma platyrhinos (Desert horned lizard) is the source of this 72-nucleotide non-coding RNA. The record is from the annotation of a GenBank genome assembly. Lineage: Eukaryota; Metazoa; Chordata; Lepidosauria; Squamata; Phrynosomatidae.
GGGAAUUUAGCACAGUGACAGAGAUAAUGCUUCAUAUACAAAUGGUCCCGGGUUCAAUUCCCAGCAUUUCCC